GGGCGUAAGAGCUCGUAGGCGGCUUGUCACGUCGGGUGUGAAAGUCCGGGGCUUAACCCCGGGUCUGCAUUCGAUACGGGCUAGCUAGAGUGUGGUAGGGGAGAUCGGAAUUCCUGGUGUAGCGGUGAAAUGCGCAGAUAUCAGGAGGAACACCGGUGGCGAAGGCGGAUCUCUGGGCCAUUACUGACGCUGAGGAGCGAAAGCGUGGGGAGCGAACAGGAUUAGAUACCCUGGUAGUCCACGCCGUAAACGGUGGGAACUAGGUGUU
RNAcentral lists this ribosomal RNA (268 nucleotides) under Streptomyces bobili. RNAcentral's name for it is "partial 16S ribosomal RNA". It matches the Rfam family "Bacterial small subunit ribosomal RNA", at positions 556 to 824 of the family's 1533-position model. Lineage: Bacteria; Bacillati; Actinomycetota; Actinomycetes; Kitasatosporales; Streptomycetaceae. The record is from RNAcentral.